RNAcentral lists this ribosomal RNA (497 nucleotides) under uncultured bacterium. Its description in RNAcentral is "partial 16S ribosomal RNA". It matches the Rfam family "Bacterial small subunit ribosomal RNA", at positions 28 to 507 of the family's 1533-position model. The record is from RNAcentral.
GACGAACGCUGGCGGCGUGCCUAAUACAUGCAAGUUGAGCGAUGAAGAUUGGUGCUUGCACCAAUUUGAAGAGCAGCGAACGGGUGAGUAACGCGUGGGGAAUCUGCCUUUGAGCGGGGGACAACAUUUGGAAACGAAUGCUAAUACCGCAUAAUAACUUUAAACAUAAGUUUUAAGUUUGAAAGAUGCAAUUGCAUCACUCAAAGAUGAUCCCGCGUUGUAUUAGCUAGUUGGUGAGGUAAAGGCUCACCAAGGCGAUGAUACAUAGCCGACCUGAGAGGGUGAUCGGCCACAUUGGGACUGGGACACGGCCCAAACUUCUACGGGAGGCAGCAGGAGGGAAUCUUCGGCAAUGGACGAAAGUCUGACCGAGCAAAGCCGCGGGAGGGAAGAAGGUUUUCGGAUCGUAAAACUCUGUUGGUAGAGAAGAACGUUGGUGAGAGUGGAAAGCUCAUCAAGUGACGGUAACUACCCAGAAAGGGACGGCUAACUACGUG